AGAGUUUGAUCCUGGCUCAGGAUGAACGCUAGCGGCAGGCCUAAUACAUGCAAGUCGAGCGGCAAGCCGAGGAGUAAUCCAAGGCCUAGAGCGGCGCACGGGUGCGUAACGCGUAUGCAACCUACCCCAUACAGGGGGAUAGCCCGGAGAAAUCUGGAUUAAUACCCCAUAGUACAACGCAAGGGCAUCUGAGUGUUGUUAAAGAUUCAUCGGUAUGGGAUGGGCAUGCGUCUGAUUAGCUAGUUGGCGGUGUAACGGACCACCAAGGCGACGAUCAGUAGGGGUUCUGAGAGGAAGGUCCCCCACACUGGCACUGAGAUACGGGCCAGACUCCUACGGGAGGCAGCAGUAGGGAAUAUUGGGCAAUGGGCGAGAGCCUGACCCAGCCAUGCCGCGUGCAGGAAGACGGCCUAUUGGGUUGUAAACUGCUUUUAUCUGGGAAGAAAAGGCCCGUGCGCGGGACAUUGCCGGUACCAGAUGAAUAAGCACCGGCUAACUCCGUGCCAGCAGCCGCGGUAAUACGGAGGGUGCAAGCGUUGUCCGGAUUUAUUGGGUUUAAAGGGUGCGUAGGCGGCUGUUUAAGUCAGCGGUGAAAGACAUCGGCUCAACCGAUGCAGUGCCGUUGAUACUGGAUGGCUUGAGUGUUGGAGGGGUACAUGGAAUUGAUGGUGUAGCGGUGAAAUGCAUAGAUACCAUCAGGAACACCGAUAGCGAAGGCAUUGUACUGGCCAACAACUGACGCUGAGGCACGAAAGCAUGGGGAGCGAACAGGAUUAGAUACCCUGGUAGUCCAUGCCGUAAACGAUGAUUACUCGCUGUUAUGCCAGUAGGUGUAGCGGCAAAGCGAAAGCGUUAAGUAAUCCACCUGGGGGAGUACGCCCGCAACGGUGAAACUCAAAGGAAUUGACGG
RNAcentral lists this ribosomal RNA (910 nucleotides) under uncultured bacterium. RNAcentral describes it as "bacterial SSU rRNA". It matches the Rfam family "Bacterial small subunit ribosomal RNA", at positions 8 to 916 of the family's 1533-position model. The record is from RNAcentral.